Molecule: long non-coding RNA, 613 nt
Filed under: Coturnix japonica (Japanese quail)
Lineage: Eukaryota; Metazoa; Chordata; Aves; Galliformes; Phasianidae
Description: lncRNA (ENSCJPG00005012179.1)
Source: RNAcentral
AACCUCUCAACCAGAUCAAACAAAAUGGAGGAACUGGAAUGUAUCAUGUCUUGUGUGCUUCCCUUCAGUCUGCAGAGAUCUCAGCUUAUAUGACCUAUCUGCAAAUCCUACACAACCUUUGCUGUCUACCACUUAUUCUAACCUGAAGAUUUCUUUGCACUGAGCUCGGAGCCUUACAUUUACAGUUUGGAUCAUUCGUCCUGGUCUAGUUUGUCACAAUCGUCGAAAAGUUCUGCUCUAGGUGACUUUGACAGUGUCAGCUCAGUCAGCGCCAAAGCAAAUGCAAGGGUAUUCCUUCAAUGUCACAGCAGAGGUCAUUGACAGGGCAACACGGAGAAGACCGCUUUUGAAGAGUGAGCUAAAGUUUUCCAUCAUGCACAUCCAACAACUUUUCUCAAGCACUCUGAGGGAAAAUAUUUUUAACCCUUUUGUAAUCAUCAAACGCAAAUGCAAAAAUAUCCACUUAAAACAUUUAGCAUAAGCAAUAGGAUAUGAUGUCUGCAAGAAUAAGCAUAUGACAUACUAGUCCCACUGUUAUGGUAACAGACAGAACGAUGCAUCAUUUUUGCAUUUUGAAAAUAAAUAUUUGUGACUGCUAAUCUAUUCCGUAAAG